This is a long non-coding RNA of Sphaeramia orbicularis (orbiculate cardinalfish), 662 nucleotides long. RefSeq lists it as uncharacterized. The record is from RefSeq and is a predicted model, not a curated record. The transcript is spliced from 3 exons. NCBI's taxonomy places the organism in Eukaryota, Metazoa, Chordata, Actinopteri, Kurtiformes, Apogonidae.
AUUAUUUUCUGGAUUUGUUUUGAUUAGAAAAUGUCAGAAAUUGCUGUAAAAGUGACGAGUUAUUUAUUUAUUUUUAUUUUUUUACCUAAAUACGCUCAGUUCCUGUCACAGAAAAGGAAAGAAACGAGCAAAUAUUCACCUACAAGAAGCUGAAAUCAGAGAAUUUUUGUCGAAUCGAACGCAGGCACGUUUUUUUAAGAGUCCAUUUGCAUGUGUCUAAUUCCUGGGAGUCACAGUCGCCUCACGCAGAGUUAACGCCUUGUGGAUCAUCUGUUUUAAGGCGUUGGUUUUUUAUUAAAGUGACCCUUAAUCAGAACGUUUAAACCAACCAGUCACUGUGAUCCGUGUGCUAAAGGUGCAUUCAGGUGUCCCCUUUCUGUUUCCAGUUUUAACCGUCACUGUGUAUUUCCUGGAUCUAAUUUAAGACCAUAUUUGUUCCUAUUUUGAACGACACACUGUUAUUGGCGAACAGAACUCUAUCUAUGGCCUUAUUCAGAAAAUUCAUUUAUUUUUUUCAUAUACAAGAUUAUUCUUUCUUCUUUUUUUUUUUUAUUUGACUUUAAUGUACGUCUCUGCUGUUUUGGGCAAAUGUUUGUAUUGUUAUGUAAAUAUUUUUAAUGUGUUCUGAAAAUAAACGACAUUGGAGCUAUUUUGGUCGAGCG